This is a long non-coding RNA of Mytilus trossulus (common blue mussel), 320 nucleotides long. RefSeq lists it as uncharacterized. The record is from RefSeq and is a predicted model, not a curated record. Lineage: Eukaryota; Metazoa; Mollusca; Bivalvia; Mytilida; Mytilidae. The transcript is spliced from 4 exons.
ACUUCCGGAUAAAUAAAAUUGAAUUUACUAAUACAUUUAUCAUAUAUUUAUCUUCUUUUUUCAGAAGUCCUCAGAAAAUGUAGAUGAGAGCGGAAAUGUAAGACAAUCGAAGAGCAGGAAAAAAGAACAAGAACAGGUGAAGUUGACUAUCAAGUUAAACAUGUUAAAUACUUUAACCGAGACUCUUGUCGAUAAAGAAUCAACGAAAAAGGCUGUAUGCCGAAAAAUGAAAGUGAUAUCUGCCCCAAAAAAGGGUGACAUUGAAAAAACUAAGGUGAACAAAAGUAACCAUUUUCAAUAUAUGUGUAGGAUGACCAGAG